Molecule: long non-coding RNA, 205 nt
Filed under: Prunus persica (peach)
Lineage: Eukaryota; Viridiplantae; Streptophyta; Magnoliopsida; Rosales; Rosaceae
Description: long non-coding RNA (PPER_LNC001043)
Source: RNAcentral
UGAAAUCUAAUCUCUAGAACUAUACAAUACACCAACCACUCUGUUUCAUAAGGAACUUCGUACGGACCUGAAUUGUCCAAUUUCAGGGACCAAUCGAUCUGAGAUUGAGUCCAAAACUUGGGGAACAACAUAACAUUGUGGAAGGAGUCAUUCGGUGGGUUUUGAGUGACGUCCAAACUCUAGAACCACGCCACACACCAACCGC